AACGAACGCUGGCGGCGCGUCUUAAACAUGCAAGUCGAACGGCAGGAAGGGGCUUGCCCCUUCUGAGAGUGGCGGACUGGUGAGUAACACGUGGGUGACAUACCUUUUAGUUGGGGAUAGCCAUUAGAAAUAGUAGGUAAUACCGAAUGUGACCGUACCUGUUAGAGGGGUACGAGGAAAGGAGCUAAGGCUUCGCUAAAAGAAUGGCUCGCGGCCCAUUAUGCUCGUUGGUGAGGUAACGGCCCACCAAGGCGAUGAUGGGUAUCCGGCCUGAGAGGGUGAACGGACACAUUGGGACUGAGAUACGGCCCAGACUUCUACGGGAGGCAGCAGUUAAGAAUAUUCCGCAAUGGACGAAAGUCUGACGGAGCGACGCCGCGUGGAUGAAGAAUGCCGAAAGGUUGUAAAAUCCUUUUAAGCCUGAUGAAUAAGCACAGUAGGGAAUGAUGGUGCGGUGACCGUAGGGCUUGAAUAAGCACCGGCUAAUUACGUG
RNAcentral lists this ribosomal RNA (493 nucleotides) under uncultured bacterium. RNAcentral describes it as "partial 16S ribosomal RNA". It matches the Rfam family "Bacterial small subunit ribosomal RNA", at positions 29 to 507 of the family's 1533-position model. The record is from RNAcentral.